RNAcentral lists this ribosomal RNA (540 nucleotides) under Triticum aestivum (bread wheat). RNAcentral's name for it is "partial small subunit ribosomal RNA". Lineage: Eukaryota; Viridiplantae; Streptophyta; Magnoliopsida; Poales; Poaceae. The record is from RNAcentral.
AUGUCUCUUUAUACAUCAGUUAUUUGGUUGAUUCUUUCCAAGGAAGGCACCGAGAGGAAAGAUGGUCUCACUCGAUUUAUUUCUGCUACUUGCAGCUCUGCGAUUAGAGCUAUUGGCUCAGGCUGCGGGCUGCCUGGAUCCUGGAUGGGCAGGCCUAGAGGUGGGAAGGCCAAGGAAUCGAUGGAAGCUGCGAAGAACGAGGACGCGGGUAGCGCGGGUGAGGAGGUGAUCCCAGCCUACAAGAGGAGGGGACGGCCACAGAAGCUUUUCAAGCACGACGUCGAUGAGGAAGAGGAUGUCGCCAAGGUUGAAGACGACGGCGACGGCACAAAAGAAGAGAUUGCGCCACGCAGGGAGUCGACGGGCGCAGCUGGGAACGGAGGGAAGAAGAGGCGGCGACAGUCGAAGCGCGGCUCGGCGUCAGCGACGGAGGAGAAGGGCGGCGCGCCAGCGAGGGCACCGACCGGAUUCCGGCAGAAUGGGAGCCGGCGGAAGAACACCCCGCGGAGAGCUGCGGAGGCGGGGGUGGAGAGCAAGUGA